AGUUUAAUUGUUAAUUUAAGAGUUUCACAUGUAGUAUACCAUCUUGUAUUAAUAUCGAUCUAAACCCGUCAAUUCUAGGAUUUUCCAGCUUGUAUUAAAAAUUGAAUCACAUCAUACACAUAAAAAAAUCUAAUAUGUUAUUAAUUAUUAUAGUAUAUAAGAUUAUAAAUUUUCAAUAUAAUAUGUAUGAAAUUGAAUAUAAAUAUUUCAAAUUAUGACCCGUUACUCAGUAGAAAGUUUUCUUAAAUCUAUUUUUCACCCUUUAUAAUAUUUUUUCAUGUAUUGAACAGUUUAUAUUUGUUUUUAAAAAUUUAAAUUAUGGCAUAUGCGAAAAAACUCUAAUUUUUUUUUUAUAAUGAUGAUAUUAUUUUUUCGCAAAAAUAGAAUCAUAUAAAGAUGAGAAGUGAACUAUAAUAAUUAAUAAAAAAUUAAUAUGAUAAUUUAGAUAUAAAAUCUAAUUUGUUGAUUUUAAUAGGUUACUUUUUUGGAAAUUAAUAAUGUAUUUU
This 506-nucleotide small RNA is filed under the name Arabidopsis thaliana (thale cress). Its description in RNAcentral is "ATSL295680". The record is from RNAcentral. Lineage: Eukaryota; Viridiplantae; Streptophyta; Magnoliopsida; Brassicales; Brassicaceae.